GGUCAAAAAGUAAAUGGCUCAACCUGGGACAGAAAUUCACAACACUAAGACAAGCUGCUGGACUUUGAAAUCUCAUACUUCUUCAGCAACCAAAUGCAGCACGUGAAAGCACGUGACAAGCUUUUUACAAACCCCCCCCACACACAGCAAAGCUUAUCCAAGUUAACACUACAACUGCAGAACAUUGUUUGAGACUAUGCUUAAAAUACUAUGAUUCCAUC
This 221-nucleotide unclassified non-coding RNA is filed under the name Hevea brasiliensis (rubber tree). Lineage: Eukaryota; Viridiplantae; Streptophyta; Magnoliopsida; Malpighiales; Euphorbiaceae. The record is from RNAcentral.